RNAcentral lists this ribosomal RNA (814 nucleotides) under uncultured Lactobacillus sp. Its description in RNAcentral is "bacterial SSU rRNA". It matches the Rfam family "Bacterial small subunit ribosomal RNA", at positions 31 to 812 of the family's 1533-position model. Lineage: Bacteria; Bacillati; Bacillota; Bacilli; Lactobacillales; Lactobacillaceae. The record is from RNAcentral.
GAACGCUGGCGGCGUGCCUAAUACAUGCAAGUCGAGCGAGCCGAACCAAUUGAUUACCUUCGGGUAUGAAGUUAGGGAAGCGAGCGGCGGAUGGGUGAGUAACACGUGGGUAACCUACCCUAUAGUCUGGGAUACCACUUGGAAACAGGUGCUAAUACCGGAUAAAAGGAGAGAUCACAUGAUUUCUUUUUGAAAGGCGGCGUAAGCUAUCGCUAAAGGAUGGACCCGCGGUGCAUUAGCUAGUUGGUAAGGUAACGGCUUACCAAGGCAACGAUGCAUAGCCGAGUUGAGAGACUGAUCGGCCACAUUGGGACUGAGACACGGCCCAAACUCCUACGGGAGGCAGCAGUAGGGAAUCUUCCACAAUGGACGCAAGUCUGAUGGAGCAACGCCGCGUGAGUGAAGAAGGUUUUCGGACCGUAAAGCUCUGUUGUUGGUGAAGAAAGAUAGUGAGAGUAACUGCUCAUUAUUUGCCGGUAAUCAACCAGAAAGUCACGGCUAACUACGUGCCAGCAGCCGCGGUAAUACGUAGGUGGCAAGCGUUGUCCGGAUUUAUUGGGCGUAAAGCGAGCGCAGGCGGAAAGAUAAGUCAGAUGUGAAAGCCCUCGGCUUAACCGAGGAAUAGCAUCGGAAACUGUCUUUCUUGAGUGCAGAAGAGGAGAGUGGAACUCCAUGUGUAGCGGUGGAAUGCGUAGAUAUAUGGAAGAACACCAGUGGCGAAACGGCUCUCUGGUCUGUAACUGACGCUGAUGCUCGAAAGCAUGGGUAGCGAACAGGAUUAGAUACCCCUGGUAGUCCAUGCUGUAAACGAUGA